AUCUGUUUAGUAUAUCAGUAUUUUUGACUUCCAAUCAAAAGGUUUGGGAGUCCCAAAACAGAUA
Molecule: transfer RNA, 64 nt
Filed under: Cinygmina sp. 07BF85
Lineage: Eukaryota; Metazoa; Arthropoda; Insecta; Ephemeroptera; Heptageniidae
Description: tRNA-Gly
Rfam family: tRNA
About the family: Transfer RNA (tRNA) molecules are approximately 80 nucleotides in length.
Source: RNAcentral